Molecule: ribosomal RNA, 433 nt
Filed under: uncultured bacterium
Lineage: Bacteria
Description: partial 16S ribosomal RNA
Rfam family: Bacterial small subunit ribosomal RNA
Source: RNAcentral
AACGAACGCUGGCGGCAUGCCUAACACAUGCAAGUCGAACGAGACCUUCGGGUCUAGUGGCGCACGGGUGCGUAACGCGUGGGAACCUGCCCUUAGGUUCGGAAUAACUCCCCGAAAGGGGUGCCAAUACGGGAUAAUUUCUUCGAACCAAAGAUGUAUCGCCUUAGGAGGUGCCCGCUUUGGAUUAGCUAUUUGGUAGGUUAAAGGCCUACCAAGGCUAUGUUCCAUAGCUGGUCUGGGAGGAUGGUCCCCCACACUGGGACUGUAACAGGCCCCAGACUCCUACGGGAGGCAGCAGGUGGGAAUAUUCGACGAUGGGCGAAAGCCUGAUCCAGCCAUGCCGCGUGAGUGAGGAAGGCGUUAGGGUUGUAAAGCUCUUUUAACCGGGAUGAUAAUGACAGUACCGGGAGAAUAAGCGCCGGCUAACUCCGUG